RNAcentral lists this ribosomal RNA (253 nucleotides) under uncultured bacterium. RNAcentral's name for it is "partial 16S ribosomal RNA". It matches the Rfam family "Bacterial small subunit ribosomal RNA", at positions 524 to 776 of the family's 1533-position model. The record is from RNAcentral.
GACGUAGGGCGCGAGCGUUGUCCGGAAUUAUUGGGCGUAAAGAGCUCGUAGGCGGCUUGUCACGUCGGGUGUGAAAACCCGGAGCUCAACUCCGGGCCUGCAGUCGAUACGGGCAGACUGGAGUUCGGCAGGGGAGACUGGAAUUCCUGGUGUAGCGGUGAAAUGCGCAGAUAUCAGGAAGAACACCCGUGGCGAAGGCGGCUCUCUGGGACGGUACUGACGCUGAGACGCGAAAGCGUGGGGAGCGAACAGG